GGCAUGUGAAUGUGAAACAGACUGCUUAAUAUUUGGUUAAUUAUUUUUGGAGCAGGCUAAAAGAGAUCCAAUACCUUUACACCGUGCUGCAAAACUGUUGAUUAAUAUGCAAUUGGAGAGUGGUGAAUUUCCACAGCAAGAAGUCACAGGGUGCUUUUGCGAUUCUGCCACGCUCACUUACAGCAACUACAGGAACAUUUUUCCAACAUGGGCCCUUGGAAAAUAUUCGACUGAAGUCUUUCUCCAUGCCAAGAAAUGAAGAGCCUACACGUCUACUUAUAUCACUGUUGUUGCCUGGAUACUAUUAGUAGUUCCCCAUGUCAUGUACUUCUCCCAAUGAAAGAACUAUAGUAUGCUACACGUCUACUUAUAUCACUGUUGUUGCCUGGAUACUAAUAGUAGCUUCCAUGUCAUGUACUUCUCCAAAUGAAAGAACCAUAGUAUGCUGGAACAGCCAAUAGGCUUUAAUUAUAUUUAAAGUGUGGAAUAUGCCUA
Molecule: non-coding RNA, 495 nt
Organism: Phoenix dactylifera (date palm)
Lineage: Eukaryota; Viridiplantae; Streptophyta; Magnoliopsida; Arecales; Arecaceae
Source: RefSeq, a predicted model, not a curated record